This 265-nucleotide ribosomal RNA is filed under the name uncultured archaeon. RNAcentral describes it as "partial 16S ribosomal RNA". It matches the Rfam family "Archaeal small subunit ribosomal RNA", at positions 717 to 982 of the family's 1478-position model. The record is from RNAcentral.
ACACGACUACAUUAGAUACCCCUGUAGUCCUAGCCGUAAACGAUACUCGCUAGGUGUCGGCCACGGUGCGACCGUUGUCGGUGCCGUAGGGAAGCCGUGAAGCGAGCCACCUGGGAAGUACGGCCGCAAGGCUGAAACUUAAAGGAGUUGGCGGGGGAGCACCACAACGGGUGGAGCUUGCGGUUUAAUUGGAUUCAACGCCGGAAAUCUUACCGGGACCGACAGCAACAUGAAGGCCAGGCUGAAGACUUUGCCGGAUUGGCUG